GAUGAACGCUGGCGGCGUGCUUAACACAUGCAAGUCGAACGAGAAAUGUAGACGGACACCUUCGGGCGGAAGCCUUCAUUUCGAGUGGCGGACGGGUGAGUAACGCGUGGGUAACCUGCCUCAUACAGGGGGAUAACAGUUGGAAACGACUGUUAAUACCGCAUAAGACCACAGCAUCGCAUGAUGCGGGGGUAAAAACUCCGGUGGUAUGAGAUGGACCCGCGUUCGAUUAGCCAGUUGGCGGGGUAACGGCCCACCAAAGCGACGAUCGAUAGCCGAUCUGAGAGGAUGACCGGCCACAUUGGGACUGAGACACGGCCCAAACUCCUACGGGAGGCAGCAGUGGGGAAUAUUGCACAAUGGGGGAAACCCUGAUGCAGCGACGCCGCGUGAGUGAAGAAGUACUUCGGUAUGUAAAGCUCUAUCAGCAGGGAAGAAAAUGGCGGUACCUGAGUAAGAAGCCCCGGCUAACUACGUG
This 478-nucleotide ribosomal RNA is filed under the name uncultured bacterium. RNAcentral describes it as "partial 16S ribosomal RNA". It matches the Rfam family "Bacterial small subunit ribosomal RNA", at positions 28 to 507 of the family's 1533-position model. The record is from RNAcentral.